UGUGUAAAUUAGUUUCACUUUCAAUGUGUAAGUUUGCUAGAACUCUGCUAAUAGCUUUGUAGAGGCAAAUUCUUUUUACCUGGCAAUUACCACUUCUGGAACCUCAGAAUUCUUGUUUGCAACAAUAAAGCUUGAAGGAUUCAUAAAUCUCUGCUGUGGAAUUUGUCUGAGUUAAGAUACUCUGCUGGAUUCUACUAAUCUCUGGCUUGUUUGGAAUAUCUGUCCAGCUCAAAAAUGGCUCCAGCGGUUAGAAACAGGUGUUGGAUGGCAGAAUGGCUUUAUGGAAACUUCAAGCAUAUGACAGCUUAAUUUUCUUCAACAAGGCUGUGAGACCAGUUUGCAGGUGAUGCUAAAGUUAUCAGAUCUACAGCACCAGGUGACAUACAGCCAACACUUAGUGUCUAGCUUAUUGUCAAAAGAAAUGUCUGUGCCUCCUUUGCUAAACCAGAUGUAGCAAUGUGAAGCGAGAGGCCAUAAUGUACAGAGGUCUUCACUUCAACUGCGUCUGCUGACAUCCAGGCUGCAAGUUGAUUUUGUUUUAUUUACAGAUGUUCAAGCACUGGACAAAAUGUCUACAUGAAACAUUUCUCCGUUACAUCAGCCCAGCAUAUGUGACCGUGUAUGGAGAGAUGCUCACUUCACCUCUUGUUUACGCAGAAGAAAGGCUUCCACGCUGUCACUAGAUGAUUCUCACUCAUUACAAUGGCACCAUGAUGACGGUUUACAGAUUACAGAGAACCUACCGCCUUUCUGCAGCUAUUGAAUAAUUGGAACACAACUUGUGACUUUAGCCCAGUGACAUUAAGCUAGAUGUAGCAAUGUGAAGCGAGAGGCCAUAAUGUACAGAGGUCUUCACUUCAACUGUGUCUGCUGACAUCCAGGCUGCAAGUUGAUUUUGUUUUAUAUACAGAUCUUCAAGCACUGGACAAAAUGUCUACAUGAAACAUUUCUCCGUUACAUCAGCCCAGCUGGAGUACGUGUGUUUUGUGUAACUGCUGCUCUCACAACUCGUGUACCCAUGGAAAGGGAUUGUCCUUGGCGUUCCUGUUUCAACUAUAAACCUGGCUAUUUUAUAAAAUGCUAAUAAAGUGUUUCUGAUAUCUGUUCUAUUAAUAAAGCUGUGACUGAUUUUA
Long non-coding RNA from Bombina bombina (fire-bellied toad), 1133 nucleotides. RefSeq lists it as uncharacterized. Lineage: Eukaryota; Metazoa; Chordata; Amphibia; Anura; Bombinatoridae. The transcript is spliced from 10 exons. The record is from RefSeq and is a predicted model, not a curated record.